Molecule: long non-coding RNA, 734 nt
Organism: Argentina anserina (silverweed cinquefoil)
Lineage: Eukaryota; Viridiplantae; Streptophyta; Magnoliopsida; Rosales; Rosaceae
Exons: 4
Source: RefSeq, a predicted model, not a curated record
CCACUCAGCCAAGCCACGAUAUGAGAAAAGAGAUGGCUAUAUCAUUACUCUCGAAUCACAAGCUACACACCUCUCUCCCAAAUUGCAAGCUAAGAAAUUACAACCGAACAAAGAGAAAGAGCGGCGGAACGAAGAGAAAGAGACGAAUUCACUUUUGGGUUCAUCUCAUUUAGCUCUUACAGUCAUUGGAUGGUUAAAUUGAAGAUUACACCUAUUUAGUUGCAAUUGGGAGGGCUAUUAGCUAGAAUUGGCAUUCCAAGUUGUUUGUAGAGAGGCCAGGUCCCCUCUCUCUCUCAUCGGUUAAUUGUCAAGUUCCGUGGGUGCAAGGUGUGAAUUCUACAAUUGUGUUGCGCAAAUAAAGGAAUCCAGGGAGUAAGCUAAUCAUAAAGGUCAUGUUUACGUACUCAUGAGACUCAGUUACCCAUAUGUUACCCCUCAUGCAGUACACCGACAGACACUAGGCAACUCAUAUGUUACCCCUCAUGUAGUAUACCGACAGGCACUAGGCAACCCAUCUGGUUACCCAAAAUCAUUUAAAACAUGGGUACUCAUGAGACCAAAGUACUCAUCUGUUACCCCUCAUGCAUUACACCGACAUGCACUGCGCAACCCAUUUUGUUAUCCAAAAUCAUUUAAAAUAUGGGUACUCAUGAGACCCAGACAACCCAUUUGUUACCCCUCAUGCAGUACACCGGUACACAAACUAGAGCUCUAACUGAUCGUAACUGACACCC